Long non-coding RNA from Lolium rigidum, 2703 nucleotides. RefSeq lists it as uncharacterized. Lineage: Eukaryota; Viridiplantae; Streptophyta; Magnoliopsida; Poales; Poaceae. The transcript is spliced from 3 exons. The record is from RefSeq and is a predicted model, not a curated record.
CACAUGUUGCUGCGGCGGAUCUGUGGUGAGCCGGACCAUGGCGUCCGCGAGCGUGGGCUGCAGGUUGCGGCAACAGUUGGCGGCGAAGGAAGAGGAAUACGCCGCAAACUGGGUGAGGACGUGGGAUCCGAACGGUGGUGGCGAUUCCCGCCCCCAUGGCUAUGGCCAGCUCGGAUUGCUGCAGCAGCCAGGGCAUGUCUCGCCAUCGGACUUGUGCCCUAGCUGUGUCCAUGCCUCCGUGGAAAGAAAAUGAAUUGGCAGGUGCGGACUCCAAAGGCUGUCUAAGCCAUCAACGUCCUGGGACUGGGAUGCGAGAUCCUGCUCCAGUUCGCUUUCCGCCUCCGCGACAUCGUCGAAGCCAGCAUACGGAUAGCGGGGGCAUGGCGCCCAUCUCCCCUUUCCAACCUGGCUGGCGGCACAAAGGAGGACCUCGGUGCCGUCUUCUUCAUCCCGAGGAGGCGCAAUAUGGGAGGAGCUGACGCCGUCUGUUUCCCUCUUCCGGAUGCACCCUCACGUGAUGCAUCGCCGCUCCUAUGGUGAGCCUUCUCAGUCUCUUGCUGAUCUGGCCACAAGAGCUCAGGAAGAACCACAAGAGUAAAAAUAUAGAGAUUCUCUCAAGAAAGAGGAUGAACGCACCGUAUCGAGUUAUGUCCACUGUUUGCUGCUUCUGGAGUAGCAGCAUAUCAUGUUCCUUUGGAUAUGUUUUUUGAGUUUGUUAUUACCAAAUAAAAUAUGAACUGGACGGAUGCUUCAGUUUCUGUUAUAUUCUUUUGAACCAGUAAAGAAAGAGGAUGCUAAGACUGUUCUACUAGGUCUGCUUUUCGUUUUGAGAUGAUUGCUUACUUGAUUUUUUUUAUACAUAUAUGUAGCUAAGUUAGAUACUUCCAAAUUUGGCUUUAUACUUCGUAUCACACCUCCAUGUAAAUGGUACAUAAAUACUCUUGAACUAAAUAGAACUUGCUAUGCAGGUAUGGUCAUUUUAAUAGACCUUUAUGUUUGCUAUGAUUGGUAAUGGAUAAUUAAUGAAAUUAGAAUGCCCAGAUAUAGUCACAUGCAGAUCAAGUUUAUAACUAGAUGCUCCUAUGUAAUAGGCAAGCAAGUACAUGCAUUUUACAUAUCUCUUGAUUACCAGAAGUAGCUUACCUUUCAAAAGGCGUCAUGAUGCAGGCCAAGUUUACAAAUUGACAAGGGAUUCUCAAACAGCCGUGAAAAUUUCAUGGAGCAUGCAUGGAGCCAAUAAUAAAUUAGAACUUGGGGAUACUAUGAAUUUCUACCCUCAUUUUAGGUAAUAGAACAUGCUAUUUGAUUUGGUUUUAUUUCUGUAUUUGUGGAUGGGGCUACAUUUUCCUCCUCUUUUAGUCGGUACAUUUCCUGAUGAGACCACUCAUUUAGACAAACUUCUGGUUCCUUUGUUCAGUCGUGAUGGCUCUGACAUGCUCCUAUGAUUUUGAUUCUUGAAUACUUUAUGUGUUUCUUCACCCACUUAUCUAGCAGAACAAAGUAGCAAAGGUUCUCACUACUACCAUGCAGUUUAAUUGUAUCUUCAUCUACUGGUUUGGUGGAAACAUGAAAGCAAGGGUUGGUAAGUAAUUCUCAAAUUUUAUUGGAAGAUCAUGCCUAUAUAUAAAAUCGUUGUACCCACUUAUCUAGCAGAACAAAGUAGCAAAGGUUCUCACUACUACCAUGCAGUUCAAUUGUAUCUUCAUCUACUGGUUUGGUGAAAACAUGAAAGCAAGGGUUGGUAAGUAAUUCUCAAAUUUUAGGGGAAGAUCAUGCCUACAUAUAAAAUCGUUGUACUACUCCCUCCGUCUCGAAAAGGAUGUCAUAGAUUUUUCUAAAUUCGGAUGUAUUUACACACUAAAUAUUUCUCUAAAUUCAAUGUGUGAGCAAAAUUAUACUCUUUUGGUGCCACUUUGAAUUGCUCUUAGGAAACUAUUAGAUGACAUUUAGAAUUGUUUUCUCAUAUUUCACUAACCACCUCCUCAAUUGUUUUACUUGAUAUUCAUUUGAUUAUGCUCUUAAGACAGUAUUAGAUGGCAGCCUAUAUGAGUAUAUGUACCAGGCUUUCAGAGAUAUUUAUUUGAUUAUGUUGUUAUAUUAACUAAUGUUCCCUCUCAUUGUUCUUUUUUUCUAGGGUUCACUCUCUACUGAAAGCAUCAAGUUACAUGUCCAUUUGUUUAGAUCUACAUGUCCCUUUUUUCAUUGGAGUUCUUGCUGCCUACAGAGUUUAGAUGACUGACAUUGAGGUGCAGGUAUUGUCAGUACUGGAUUUGUGCGUGUCAGUACUGGAUAACGGGUGUUUUGCUUCUGCACUAAUGCGUUCACCCUUCUAUGCAUUAUUUAACUUCUUGAUAUCCUCCGGUUCAGAAAAAGCAAGAGCUGAUUGGUCAAGAUCAAUUGCAGGACCAGGAUGAUGCUCAAGCAGCUAUAUUCAGAUAUCUGCAUGUGACAGCUACAUAUGUUCCAUGCUCAGGCUACCUACAAGAGUUGAUGCACUUUCAGAAAACACUGUAGAUAGUACUUUUGAUGAGUGGUUAGUUUCAUGUUAUCCUAUGGUCAGUGGUUCCUUUUGAAAACACUACCUAGAUAGUACUGCAGCUAUACUGCAUAAUUUUUUUAUCGGUAGUUGGCUCCAUGUUAUGCUAUGGUCAGUUCUCUUGUGUAUUUCGUGUUUUUCUGUAUAAUUGUAAUGUAAUCAGUAUU